This is a long non-coding RNA of Mytilus californianus (California mussel), 3779 nucleotides long. RefSeq lists it as uncharacterized. The record is from RefSeq and is a predicted model, not a curated record. The transcript is spliced from 9 exons. Lineage: Eukaryota; Metazoa; Mollusca; Bivalvia; Mytilida; Mytilidae.
GCUGAAGCUAGCGAACAAUAACUAGCGAACAAUAAGCCAGCGAACAAUAAGGCGAUAUAUCUAAAAACCGAAAAAAUGAAUAAGACAGCAACGGCCGUCAAAUGAAAAAUAUUUAAAAAGGCAGACAUUCCGUCCAAAUAUUGCAAUUUCAACUCUAUCGUGAGAUAGUAUUUAUCCCAUCCAUUGAUAAAACAAGUCGCAUCUCUUUUUAGGCUAAUAUUCAGUACCACAGUAAAUCUGCAUCUGUCAAGGGAUUAUUUGUAGGUGUAAGACCACUAAUGCACCCACUUCAAUUUAGAACGUAUGUAAAAGUAGUCCUUUCCUGUAAAAUACAGCACCUUUGAUGUCAUUUUUUAAUUGAACUAAGAUACACAUUUGCAGAAAUGGUGGUUUACCUAUUCCAUGGCUUCUAGAGAAAAAUAAUGAGGGGUGUCACGGGGUAUGACUAUAUAGGUCUUGUAGAGGAGAAACAGGCGCAUCUUUUGCGCAAGGUAUCGAAGGGCGCUAUGUUCAAAAAUCAGAAACUAGAGCUGAAGAUUUAAAAAAAAAUGUUAAAAACAGGAGGUUUGGCCUAUUCCAUGGCUUCUAGAGAAAAAUAAUGAGGGGUGUCACGGGAUAUGACUAUAUAGGUCUUGUAGAGGAGAAACAGGCGCAUCUUUUGCGCAAGGUAUCGAAGGGCGCUAUGUUCAAAAAUCUGAAACUAGAGCUCAAAAUUAAAAAAAAAAAUGUUAAAAACAGGGGGGUUGGCCUAUUCCAUGGCUUCUAGAGAAAAAUAAUGAGGGGUGUCACGGGGUACGACUAUAUAGGUCUUGUAGAGGAGAAACAGGCGCAUCAUUUGCGCAAGGUAUCGAAGGGCGCUAUGUUCAAAAAUCUGAAACUAGAGCUCAAAAUAAAAAAAAAAUUGUUAAAAACAGGGGGGUUGGCCUAUUCCAUGGCUUCUAGAGAAAAAUAAUGAGGGGUGUCACGGGGUAUGACUAUAUAGGUCUUGUAGAAGAGAAACAGGCGCAUCUUUUGCGCAAGGUAUCGAAGGGCGCUAUGUUCAAAAAUCUGAAACUAGAGCUCAAAAUUUAAAAAAAAAAUGUUAAAAACAGGGGGGUUGGCCUAUUCCAUGGCUUCUAGAGAAAAAUAAUGAGGGGUGUCACGGGGUAUGACUAUAUAGGUCUUGUAGAGGAGAAACAGGCGCAUCUUUUGCGCAAGGUAUCGAAGGGCGCUAUGUUCAAAAAUCUGAAACUAGAGCUCAAAAUUAAAAAAAAAAAUGUUAAAAACAGGGGGGUUGGCCUAUUCCAUGGCUUCUAGAGAAAAAUAAUGAGGGGUGUCACGGGAUAUGACUAUAAAGGUCUUGUAGAGGAGAAACAGGCGCAUCUUUUGCGCAAGGUAUCGAAGGACGCUAUGUUCAAAAAUCUGAAACUAGAGCUCAAAAUUUAAAAAAAAAAUGUUAAAAACAGGGGGGUUGGCCUAUUCCAUGGCUUCUAGAGAAAAAUAAUGAGGGGUGUCACGGGGUAUGACUAUAUAGGUCUUGUAGAGGAGAAACAGGCGCAUCUUUUGCGCAAGGUAUCGAAGGGUGCUAUGUUCAAAAAUCUGAAACUAGAGCUCAAAAUUAGAAAAAAAAAAUGUUAAAAACAGGGGGGUUGGCCUAUUUCAUGGCUUCUAGAGAAAAAUACUGAGGGGUGUCACGGGACAUGACUAUAUAGGUCUUGUAGAGGAGAAACAGGCGCAUCUUUUGCGCAAGGUAUCAAAGGGCGCUAUGUUCAAAAAUCUGAAACUAAAGCUCAAAAUUAAAAAAAAAAAAUGUUAAAAACAGGGGGGGUGGCCUAUUCCAUGGCUUCUAGAGAAAAAUAAUGAGGGGUGUCACGGGACAUGACUAUAUAGGUCUUGUAGAGGAGAAACAGGCGCAUCUUUUGCGCAAGGUAUCGAAGGGCGCUAUGUUCAAAAAUCUGAAACUAGAGCUCAAAAUUAGAAAAAAAAAAUGUUAAAAACAGGGGGGUUGGCCUAUUUCAUGGCUUCUAGAGAAAAAUAAUGAGGGGUGUCACGGGACAUGACUAUAUAGGUCUUGUAGAGGAGAAACAGGCGCAUCUUUUGCGCAAGGUAUCGAAGGGCGCUUUGUUCAAAAAUCUGAAACUAGAGCUCAAAAUUAAAAAAAAAAUGUUAAAAACAGGGGGGUUGGCCUAUUCCAUGGCUUCUAGAGAAAAAUAAUGAAGGGUGUCACGGGGUACGACUAUAUAGGUCUUGUAGAGGAGAAACAGGCGCAUCCUUUGCGCAAGGUAUCGAAGUGCGCUAUGUUCAAAAAUCUGAAACUAGAGCUCAAAAUUAAAAAAUGUUAAAAACAGGGGGGUUGGCCUAUUCCAUGGCUUCUAGAGAAAAAUAAUGAGGGGUGUCACGGGGUACGACUAUAUAGGUCUUGUAGAGGAGAAACAGGCGCAUCUUUUGCGCAAGGUAUCGAAGGGCGCUAUGUUCAAAAAUCUGAAACUAGAGCUCAAAAUAAAAAAAAAAUUGUUAAAAACAGGGGGGUUGGCCUAUUCCAUGGCUUCUAGAGAAAAAUAAUGAGGGGUGUCACGGGGUAUGACUAUAUAGGUCUUGUAGAGGAGAAACAGGCGCAUCUUUUGCGCAAGGUACCGAAGGGCGCUAUGUUCAAAAAUCUGAAACUAGAGCUCAAAAUUUAAAAAAAAAAUGUUAAAAACAGGGGGGUUAGUCUAUUCCAUGGCUUCUAGAGAAAAAUAAUGAGGAGUGUCACGGGGUAUGACUAUAUAGGUCUUGUAGAAGAGAAACAGGCGCAUCUUUUGCGCAAGGUAUCGAAGGGCGCUAUGUUCAAAAAUCUGAAACUAGAGCUCAAAAUUAGAAAAAAAAAAUGUUAAAAACAGGGGGGUUGGCCUAUUUCAUGGCUUCUAGAGAAAAAUAAUGAGGGGUGUCACGGGACAUGACUAUAUAGGUCUUGUAGAGGAGAAACAGGCGCAUCUUUUGCGCAAGGUAUCGAAGGGCGCUAUGUUCAAAAAUCUGAAACUAGAGCUCAAAAUUUAAAAAAAAAAUGUUAAAAACAGGGGGGUUGGCCUAUUCCAUGGCUUCUAGAGAAAAACAAUGAGGAGUGUCACGGGGUAUGACUAUAUAGGUCUUGUAGAGGAGAAACAGGCGCAUCUUUUGCGCAAGGUAUCGAAGGGUGCUAUGUUAAAAAUUUGAAACUAGAGCUCAAAAUUAAAAAAAAAAUGUUAAAAACAGUGGGUUGGCCUAUACCAUGGCUUCUACAGAAAAAUAAUGGUGGGUAGUAGUGUAAAAAGGAGGAUUCUGCUGCAUUUGCCAUUUUUAAGCGCAAAUCCUGCAUAGGGACCCCAACCUCAAUCAUAAAAUGCAAAUUCAUUGUGUUUCAACUAGUCUAAGGGUAGAAACAAGGAUAUGGCUUUUUGUAAACAAUGGUAGAUACACCUUAAAGGGAAGUAAUCCUAGGGGUAGAUACAGAAAUAUGGCUUUCGUACAGAAGAUGGAGGAACUCAGAAGUUAAAAAAUCGUAGACGACGAUUUUAUUAAUGACAAUGUUUUUAAAGGAAAAGGCAAAGGACCAGAGCCUGGAAAUUCUAAAAUGGAAGACACUCCCAACCUGGGUAAAAUAUAAAAUUCUAGAAGUGGUAGAAGUAGAUGGGAAGUUUGGGAGGAGUAAGAUCUUCACCUUGAAAAACAGAGAAGGAGAAACGACAAGAGUAUGGGCCUGCAGUAGUCUGAACAGAGAGAAGGAACCCUUGGAAGGAGCCUUCGUGAGAAGUAAAGGCUUAAAAGUUAGUAAAAUGACCAAA